RNAcentral lists this long non-coding RNA (403 nucleotides) under Gossypium raimondii (Peruvian cotton). RNAcentral describes it as "long non-coding RNA (GRAI_LNC004523)". The record is from RNAcentral. Lineage: Eukaryota; Viridiplantae; Streptophyta; Magnoliopsida; Malvales; Malvaceae.
CCACACAAUAAACGCAAAAUAAGCCCAAAUCCCCAACACCCAAAUUAGCCCAAGAGGAGAAAAGAAAUGAAAGAAGAUUGGGCCAUACGACCAACAUUGGCCCAAAGAGAAAAAAAAGGAAAAAAAAGAGGGUAAAGAAGGUCGAACCGGCCAAAAAGAAAAAUAAGGAAACAAAACACCCAAACCACCAAACACCCACCAUUAUUCUUCCUCAUCUUUCUUCUUCUCUUCUAAACAAUAAAUCCUAACCCCUUCAAUAUCAUCACACAGCCACCAUCGCUGUACAUCGCCCCUAUCGCCACUUCCAUUGCAACAUUGUUCAGUUGACAACCCCUCUCUUACACCACCACAACCACUGACCCCAAACGUUAAACCACCAUGAAACCAGUGAUUAAAACUCCCG